Molecule: long non-coding RNA, 346 nt
Organism: Lepidothrix coronata (blue-crowned manakin)
Lineage: Eukaryota; Metazoa; Chordata; Aves; Passeriformes; Pipridae
Exons: 3
Source: RefSeq, a predicted model, not a curated record
UGCUGAAGUUCAGCAGGAUGGUCUGUCUGGUGGAGCCAGCUGCCUUGUGAAGGCCUGGAAAGAAGGAAUGUUCCUAAUACUAAAACUGGAGAAGUAAAGGACAAAGGUGCUACAGUCUCUUUUGGGCAUAUCAGCUCUAGUCAAUAGGCUGGGACAUGGUUGAGCUACUUCUGCCUGGUGUAAGUCUGCAGCCCAAUAUGAUAAGGAAGCCAGUGCAGACAGUGGAGGCCGUCUCCUAAGCUGCGGGAACCUGGAGGCGUAUACAUCAUACACUACACAUGCAGUGAAUUAUGCUGGUGUGAACUUCAAGAAUUGGGCAUGUGCCCUCCUGAAAAUUCAGGCUGCA